RNAcentral lists this ribosomal RNA (117 nucleotides) under Labrus bergylta (ballan wrasse). Lineage: Eukaryota; Metazoa; Chordata; Actinopteri; Labriformes; Labridae. The record is from RNAcentral.
GCUUACGGCCAUACCACUGAACACGCCCGAUCUCGUCCGAUCUCGGAAGCUAAGCAGGGUCGGGCCUGGUUAGUACUUGGAUGGGAGACCGCCUGGGAAUACCAGGUGCUGUAAGCU